Pichia membranifaciens is the source of this 86-nucleotide small nucleolar RNA. It matches the Rfam family "Small nucleolar RNA R38". Rfam says of the family: snoR38 is a C/D box small nucleolar RNA conserved across yeast, human, Arabidopsis and rice. It is encoded in the intron of elongation factor-1 gamma in both pombe and cerevisiae. snoR38 guides the methylation of 2'-O-ribose sites in 28S rRNA. The record is from Rfam. Lineage: Eukaryota; Fungi; Ascomycota; Pichiomycetes; Pichiales; Pichiaceae.
UUUUUACAAUGAUGAAAAAACCAUUCAUUUAAUACAGUUAUCCCUGUCUUAAAUAUAAUGUCGAGAAACUAUAAUCUGAAAGCAAA